RNAcentral lists this ribosomal RNA (429 nucleotides) under Chloroflexota bacterium. Its description in RNAcentral is "Chloroflexi bacterium partial 16S ribosomal RNA". It matches the Rfam family "Bacterial small subunit ribosomal RNA", at positions 355 to 776 of the family's 1533-position model. The record is from RNAcentral. Lineage: Bacteria; Bacillati; Chloroflexota.
UGGGGAAUAUUGCACAAUGGGCGCAAGCCUGAUGCAGCCAUGCCGCGUGUAUGAAGAAGGCCUUCGGGUUGUAAAGUACUUUCAGCGGGGAGGAAGGGAGUAAAGUUAAUACCUUUGCUCAUUGACGUAACCCGCAGAAGAAGCACCGGCUAACUCCGUGCCAGCAGCCGCGGUAAUACGGAGGGUGCAAGCGUUAAUCGGAAUUACUGGGCGUAAAGCGCACGCAGGCGGUUUGUUAAGUCAGAUGUGAAAUCCUCGGGCUCAACCUGGGAAGUGCCUCUGAUACUGGAAAGCUUGAGUCUCGUAGAGGGGGGUAGAAUUCCAGGGGUAGCGGUGAAAUGCGUAGAGAUCUGCAGGAAUACCGGUGGCGAAGGCGGCCCCCUGGACGAAGACUGACGCUCAGGUGCGAAAGCGUGGGGAGCAAACAGG